GUCGUGGGGCGGCUGCACCCAGGUGAGUGGCUUGCAGUUCCUGGAGCCUUGCAGGUUGUUGGAGAGUCAGGGAGCCUUUCUUCCUCCCACCUGCCCUCUUGCACUUCCUCUCCCACAACCCAGGGCUACUCCCAGAGGCUCUGAACUGGAGCCCUAGAAGGAGGCGCUGCAAGGCUCAGUGCUCCUGGAGCUUCGAGUCUAUGAUAUGAGUUAGGGUGUCUCCUCCAUCAGUUCUACAGGAGGGUGUCUCCUCCUUCAGACCUGGAACUUCCAAGGCAUUUUACCCAAAGCUCCAGCACCUGACCCAAGGCUGGGCUGUGCUCUGUCCUCAGUGAAAGAAUGGAUGAGUCAUAACUGAGUGAUUGGAGAGAGCUGAACGAGGUCCAGGAAGACUCAGGCACUGGAGUCUGUAUUUCCUGAGUCCGCCUCUCACUGCUGGAGCUGUUUAUCAUCGCUCCAACUUUCACUAAAAAGGAAAAACUAUCACUUAAACAAAGCCAUUGAAAACCCAGCAUCAUAUGUGGAUUUUUUAACAUAAAUAAAUCAUACAAACUAAGA
Molecule: long non-coding RNA, 558 nt
Organism: Mandrillus leucophaeus (drill)
Lineage: Eukaryota; Metazoa; Chordata; Mammalia; Primates; Cercopithecidae
Exons: 4
Source: RefSeq, a predicted model, not a curated record